This 2438-nucleotide long non-coding RNA is filed under the name Salmo salar (Atlantic salmon). RNAcentral's name for it is "lncRNA (ENSSSAG00000100796.1)". Lineage: Eukaryota; Metazoa; Chordata; Actinopteri; Salmoniformes; Salmonidae. The record is from RNAcentral.
AUGCACUUCAAAAAUGGCCACCCUCAGAUCAGUUGGUUGUCUCCAAUUGGCCUCGAAGUAACAAUGUAAAGCUGUCUUUCUCGGCAACACAACCGCCAUGGCCACUUUAUAUUUCACCCAAAUUCAAUUUUAGUGCCAACUUUUUGUGUUAAAUGUUAACAACUUGGCCUAAUCCAUUUUUAUCGCCAACAACAAAUCUAUGUUGACUCAAACACUCGCCCCCUUUGUGCCCAUUGUGCGCCUGCUCUCAUUUGAAGAUUUAUGUAUUUUUUUAUAUUAAAUUCCUUUUGUCAUCAAGACUGCUCUUUUGUUGACUUUUCUUGACCCGCCGACCCGUUCCCUAAACUUUCCCAUAUUUAACAUGGGAUAUUUCCUCCCUCGCUCUCUAUUUGGGCGUCAUUGGAACUUAUUUGUCAGCAGUUAAAUGCUGUGUGUACCCCCAUUUUUGGAAUGUGCUGUUUGCACUGUUCAUGAACUUCAAUGUGCCACACCAGGCGACGCUGCCCUGUCCCCAUCCUGUACUUUGAACUCUGUAUCUUCCUCAAAAUUAAUGCCCUGUCGGCUACAAGCCUCCCUCUGACUGCCCAGCUUGCUAAUUAGUUAAACAAACGCUCGUACUAAUGAUUCUCCAGGCCUGGCGAGCUUUUGCGGUUUUGUUCGAACUCAGCUGCCGCUGCAGAGGACUUUGCACGUCCUGCUGGAAACUUGGCCCCUCUGACCCCACCUAUCACGGCGCUGUUGAAACGGCUGGACCGCCCUGUCCGAAGUCCAUCCCCCCACGGGCCAAAGGGCACCUUCAGAGGCUCGGAAUGCCACCACCAGCUGCUUGCGGUGACAACGGCCACAAAGGCGCGCGAGUUUCCUGGAAGGGUGCUGCAGUGCAUUGGAGGCCUGUCUCCGCUCUGAUAGGAGGGUGCUGCAGUGCAUUGGAGGCCUGUCUCCGCUGUGAUAGCAGCCCUGGAGCCUAGAUGAUUGAUGAAGGCGAGGGCAAGGCCGAGCGCUGGCAGCAUAAAGCCCCAUAGACGCAUCAAUAAAGCCUGGCUAGUGGAGGGCCUGGGCCUGCUCAAUAGCCACCGCCUACGAGGAUUCAGGCAAGCAAGCGGAGAGGGGAAGGUGCUCUGUUGUUCCCUAAUCCGUUUAGCCAUUGAGCCACCAGCCGUCUGAGGCUGGAUAAGUGCAGCGACGGAUGUGUGCGGGGGUGAAAAUAGCAGGGAGUGGAGGGCUGGAGAGGACCCGCGGGGGGAGAUAUAGUGGGACGCAUACAGUUCACACACAACUGAUUGAAGGAUAGAGGGAGAGGGAGAUGGAGAAAGAGGCUGAUGAUUACCCAGCUUCCUCCAGGGUAGAAGGGAAGGGUAGAGCCAGCCAUCAUGGGUUGGUGGGUGAGGGAAUAAUGGUUGGUUAGUGUGCAUUUAUUUCAUUGAUUGCAUACCGGACAGUACAGGUGUUUGUAAUUGCUUGAGUAUGUAACACAUAUUAUUUAUCUUAACAUGUUAUGACAAAGUUCAGUUCUAAUCUAACCAAAAAGGCAUAUACUCCUCAGGCAAUAUACUGGAGAAAACACAGAGGCAAAACGAGAACAUCUUGGACAAUAGUUCAAGAGUUAUUUCCCUUCAUGCACAUCUAUAAGCAAGAAUUCCAAACAGGCACCAGCUAAUCAAAAGGCCUUUUUAAAAGUAUUACACUUGCACCAAGCAACAGGAGCCCAAUUGGUCAGCCAUUGACCCCUGCUCCACAGACCCCUACCCCACUGAAGCUUAGGGAAUCCCUGUCAUUCUAAAAAUGCAUUUGUCCAGUGUGUCCACCACAGUGGCCAGCCAGACCUCAUGCAGGCCAUAGUAACUCCAGUGUACCACAUUCCUCAAUGGCACAAUUAGGCUGCAAUCAUCUCCUACCAAGCCAGCUUUUCACUGACCCCAGGCCCAGUGCAGCUACACGGUACCCUGCAGCACGGCCUGGUUGGAGAUGGAGGGAAGAGAAGGAGGGAGGGAGGAGGGAGAGUGAUGGGGCCUGUGCCCUAUGGCUCCAGUCUGCCCUAUGACACUCACUCCCAGCAGGCCUCAGAUGUUAGUAGAAUGGACAUUUCCAAUCAAAGCAAUGUCCCAUGAUAGCGGGACUAUCUGGACAUUCUAUUUCUAUGUCUCAGCUGAGCUCUCCACUGAUCCCUCUACCUCAGCCACUCUCCGACCCAUGCAAUUUCAUAAAAAGGGGCAAUUCAACCCGAAAUCCAAGUUUCUAAGAUGAUGAUGUUUCCAGUCAUUUGGGGUUGAUGUCUACAGAUUUAUCCUAAUUAAUGUAUGAUGUAGAAGGAUACAUCUGGUAUGUUUUAAAUUUUUUAAUUUGUUUAUAUCUUAGAGAGGAUGACCGUUUUGAAGAUAUGUUUUCUCGAAAAAUGUUCUAAAAACGAAUUUGUUGUGUCUGUAUUAACUACAAGUAUA